AGAGUUUGAUCCUGGCUCAGGAUGAACGCUAGCGGCAGGCUUAACACAUGCAAGUCGAGGGGCAGCGCGGGGUAGCAAUACUCUGGCGGCGACCGGCGGAAGGGUGCGUAACACGUGAGCGACUUGCCCGUCACAGGGAGAUAACCGCUGGAAACGGCGACUAAUAUCCCAUAUGAUGGCGAUCUGCAUGGAUCGCCAUUGAAAGAUUCAUCGGUGACGGAUAGGCUCGCGGGGCAUUAGCUAGACGGCGGGGCAACGGCCCACCGUGGCGACGAUGCCUAGGGGUUCUGAGAGGAAGACCCCCCACACUGGGACUGAGACACGGCCCAGACUCCUACGGGAGGCAGCAGUGAGGAAUAUUGGUCAAUGGGCGGAAGCCUGAACCAGCCAUGCCGCGUGAAGGACUAAGGCCCUAUGGGUCGUAAACUUCUUUAGACGCAGAGCAAUAAGGGUCUCGCGAGAUCCGAUGAGAGUAUGCGUAGAAUAAGCAUCGGCUAACUCCGUGCCAGCAGCCGCGGUAAUACGGGGGAUGCGAGCGUUAUCCGGAUUUAUUGGGUUUAAAGGGUGCGUAGGCGGAAGUGCAAGUCAGCGGUGAAAUCCCCGCGCUCAACGCGGGAGUUGCCGUUGAUACUGUACAUCUGGAAUGCUCUUGCCGUGGGAGGAAUGAGUAGUGUAGCGGUGAAAUGCAUAGAUAUUACUCAGAACACCGAUUGCGAAGGCAUCUCACGAAGGGGCGAUUGACGCUGAGGCACGAAAGCGUGGUAUCGAACAGGAUUAGAUACCCUGUAGUCCACGCAGUAACGAUGAUGGCUACUGUCGGGCCUAAGGUCGCGCAGCGAAAGCGAUAGCAUCACUGGGAGUACGACGCAGUGAACUCAAGGAAUGACGGGGCCGCACAGCGAGACAUGUGGUUUAAUCGAUGAUACGCGAGACUACCCAGCUCGACGCAUCUGAUCAUCAGGAUGGAUGGUCUUCGACAAAUGUCAGGCCUGCAUGUUGUCGUCACUCUGCGUGAGUGUCGCUUAUGCCUACCAGCCAACUUGCCAGUUACAUCAAGUAUGUUGGGGACUCUGGCGGGACUGCCACCGCAAGGUGUGAGGAAGGGGGGGAUGACGUCAAAUCAGCACGGCCCUUACGUCUGGGGCGACACACGUGUUACAAUGGCGGUUACAGAGGGGAGCCACCCCGCGAGGGGGCGCUGAACUCAAAAGACCGUCUCAGUUCGGACUGGAGUCUGCAACCCGACUCCACGAAGCUGGAUUCGCUAGUAAUCGCGCAUCAGCCAUGGCGCGGUGAAUACGUUCCCGGGCCUUGCACACACCGCCCGUC
Molecule: ribosomal RNA, 1329 nt
Filed under: uncultured bacterium
Lineage: Bacteria
Description: bacterial SSU rRNA
Rfam family: Bacterial small subunit ribosomal RNA
Source: RNAcentral